This 618-nucleotide ribosomal RNA is filed under the name uncultured bacterium. Its description in RNAcentral is "bacterial SSU rRNA". It matches the Rfam family "Bacterial small subunit ribosomal RNA", at positions 45 to 694 of the family's 1533-position model. The record is from RNAcentral.
GGCCUAACACAUUGCAAGUCGAACGAGAAAGUGGAGCAAUCCAUGAGUAAAGUGGCGACCGGGUGAGUAACACGUGACUAACCUACCCUCGAGUGGGGGAUAACUCCGGGAAACCGGAGCUAAUACCGCAUAACAUCGCAAGAUCAAAGCAGCAAUGCGCUUGGGGAGGGGGUCGCGGCUGAUUAGCUAGUUGGCGGGGUAACGGCCCACCAAGGCGAAGAUCGGUAUCCGGCCUGAGAGGGCGCACGGACACACUGGAACUGAAACACGGUCCAGACUCCUACGGGAGGCAGCAGUGGGGAAUUUUGCGCAAUGGGGGAAACCCUGACGCAGCAACGCCGCGUGGAGGAUGAAGCCCCUUGGGGCGUAAACUCCUUUCGACCAAGACGAUAAUGACGGUACUGGUGGAAGAAGCACCGGCUAACUCUGUGCCAGCAGCCGCGGUAAUACAGAGGGUGCGAGCGUUGUUCGGAAUUAUUGGGCGUAAAGGGCGCGUAGGCGGUGCCACAAGUCACUUGUGAAAUCUCCGGGCUUAACUCGGAGCCUGCAGGCGAAACUGUGGUGCUGGAGUAUGGGAGAGGUGCGUGGAAUUCCCGGUGUAGCGGCGAAAUGCGUAGA